RNAcentral lists this long non-coding RNA (43366 nucleotides) under Solanum tuberosum (potato). Its description in RNAcentral is "long non-coding RNA (STUB_LNC004481)". The record is from RNAcentral. Lineage: Eukaryota; Viridiplantae; Streptophyta; Magnoliopsida; Solanales; Solanaceae.
CAAAAUUUGCCUGAAAUUUUAAUGAUGCAAAUCAAGUUCUUUAAUAUUUCUGCUAUACUCAAUUUUUGUUUUGUUUGUAGCACUUUUAGAUUCCACAGUUAAGACUGCAAAUGCAAAUGGAGGUGACUCACAGGAAGAGGUUUAUGAAAUGGUAUUGUUUGCAAUGGUAUUUUUAUUCUGCACAGGAUUUUGAAAACUGUGGAAAUUUGACAUGUGGAAUUUGAUACACAGUCUGGUUUUAACAUUAUAAGAAAUAGGUGAACAUUUUGAAAUAUCAUCAUAUAUAUAUAUAUAUAAAAAAGAACCUUAGGCCUGCCUACGUGGCGCCGUUACAAACUAGAAUUCCUUUUUAAUUUACUUAGCCUUCCUCUUUCAUGAAAAGUUGUGACUUUUAUAAAUGCGACUUUAAUGAAGAGUUGCGACUUUUAUGAAAAAUUGCAACUUUUAUGAAAGGUUCUAACCUUUCCGAAGGGUUGCAACCAAAGGAUUGCAACUUUUCCAAAUAGUUGUAACCUUUCUGCUAAGGCACAAUAAACAUUUGUUCACACUACCCUUUGUUGUCUAUAAAUAGAGGGAUUUCCUCUCAUUUUAAAACAACGAAAAUUUUGAACCUCCUCUUCUUCUUCUUCUUCACAAUUAAAUAUUUGUGUACUUUGCUCCUAUUUAGUGGCUCACUAACACCAUUGCUUAUGUUACAGAUCCUGGUAUGUAUCUUUACAAUCAUUAAUUUAUGCUUAUGUUAUUAAUGAUAAAUGAUAAGAUGCAAUAAUUUUCAUUUUCCUUUACAUUAUUAAUGUUUGUUACUACGUAAUCUUGUAUGUAAGAUAAUAUAGUGUUUUAGUUUUAAUGAUGAUCGGUUUUAAGUAUUAUUUUAUAAAUUCCGUGAUAUUAAAUUCCCGCGCGAAGCGUGGAUAAUUUUACUAGUUUCCUGUGAUUAUAGAGUAAUCUGAGGUUUACCAUACCAAGUGUGAAGUUAAAUUCAUGGUCAUACCCCUCUCCACAAGGUGUUAGAAACUGGUAUAUUGUCAAUUGAGGAGUACCACUGCAACUACGUUUCAAUACCAAGUAAGUUGAGGUUUCCUAUAUGAAUCCUCAUUGUAGAUGAUGCUCUGUUUAAGCUUGUCUUGAUUCAAUAUUGUCAACAACAAAAAAAUAGUUUCAGAAGCACGGCAUAAUUGAGAAGUGAAGUAUUAUUUGAUAAUUAACUGAUUAUAGAAAAUUAGUUGUUGAAUAAUUUGAUCGUAUUAUCUAAAAGUUCAUGAGGUAAUAUGUAUAUAAGUUUGUGUCAUAGUAUCCAUGGCAUGUCACCAAUUUGCUUUAUUUCCAGGCAACUAAAAUCUUUACUUUAUAGUUUGAGGGAUAGACCUAUUGGUUCAAGAAGUAUAUAUUUGAUAUAUGGCUAUAAGAAGAUGCUCUCUGUCAAAAGACAUAUGUUCAUAUGUAUUCAUUGGUAUACUUUAUUUGAUCUUUUAUUUUAUUUUUUAUUAUAGAGAAUUCAAUGCUUCUAUCUAUGAAACUUGGUGGGUAACAGGUCUCCCCCUCUAUCCUUCUCUACUUACAUCCUCGACUUGGAUUACUAGCUAGGUAUAAGUUGGAAUACUUUGACUUCACCAAGAAUAAACAUAUAACACUAGCUAACAUGCUUGGGAGACUCCAUUCCGUCGUUUUUCACUUGUGAAACCAACUAUAUUGUUAUUAUUUCAUUGUUUUACUUCAUCGAUGAUAAAUGUGUAAAGUGGUUUAAAAAAUAAUGAUUGACAUUUAAUUGCAUUAUAUCUCCCAUCCUAACUUUAAAAAAAUAUAGUCUAAUUCCUCCUCGUUGGGUUGGGCUAUGAUCACAUUAUAGAAGUUGUAUUCUUGAUGUGAGUUUGGGGUCCAUAUAUAUAUAUAUAUAUAUAUAUAUAUAUAUAAAGACUUCAUUUGCUGCAAUAAGCCAACAACAAUAGUCCUCAAUUGUUGCAAGAUUGCAACAAUGUCAAAAAGGUUUAGAUUUGUUUGCCUACAAGCUUGAAUUGUUAUUUAUCAUUGAUGUCAUUAGUGACAUCAAAUGGGGGAAAAUAUUUUCCAUAUAAAUAGAGCACUUAUGCUCAAUGUAAGGACACAUCAAAUAGAGAAAACAAUAGAGAGUAGUGAGAGUAAUCAAUAAGCUAUUUGUUAUAGUGUGAGAGUAAUAUAUAUUAUUGGUAAGAAAUAAAAGAGUGUUAUUCUUAUAAAUGAGUAGUAGUUUUAUGACACUACCAAGUUUUCAUUAAUAUUAUUGUAUUACUUAUUAGGAUAUCAUAUUUACCUUAUUAUAAUAUGGUGUCGUUGUUACUCUCUUCUUAUUGCUUUUUUGUAUAGACAUUAUCCUGAGUGUGAUUAUCAUUUUGUCCAACAACAUGGUAUCAGAGUAAUUGAAAGUAAUAGUCUGGUGUCUUUUCAAUACCCCUAAUUCACAAGAGAAAAUUAUGAAAAAUGGUGUCUACAUAUGAAACCCAUUCUUAGCUCUCAAGAUGUUUGAGACAUUGUAGACAAAGGCUAUACAAAACCCGUUAAUGAGGAAACUUUAUCCCCAACUGAAAAGGAGGUCUUGUUAAAGGCAAGAAAGAAAGAACAACAAGCUCUCACUCGCAUUAAUCAAUGUUUGGAUAAUGGCAUGUUUGAGAAGGUGACUGAUGCAACCACCUCAAAAGAAGCUUGUGAGAUUUUACAAAUUCUCUCCAAAGAGUUGAUAAAGUAAAGAAGAUAAAACUUUGAACUCUAAGGGCUGAUUUUGAAGAUUAAAAAUGAAAGAAUUUGAAUCCAUGUCGUAUUUCUGUUCAAGAUUGAUGGUUAAUGUGAAUCAACUAAAAAGAUAUGAGGAGGAAGUAGAUGAUGUGUGUGCCGUAGAAAAGAUCAUUUUUUCUUCAAUACCUAAAUUUGAUUAUGUGGUGUGUGCUAUUGUAGAGUUUAAAGAUUUAGACUCUAUGACGGUAGAGCAAUUGAAAGGUUCUUUACAAGGACACAAAGAAAAGAUGAAAAGGAGAAAAGAAGAGCCAGUAGAGCAACUUCUUAAAAUUCAGGCAUCCUUCAAAGGAUUUGAAGGUGAAAAAAAUUACAAAGGAAAUGGACAAUGGCAAGGUCGUGGCGGUCGUGGAGGCCGCGGAAGAGGAAUAAGUUAUAUCAACAAAUUCAAUAAUGAAGAUAAAAAUCACCAUCCAUUCAGAGGUCAUACAGUGGUCAAGGAGGAGGUGGAAGACAUGGAGCCUAUUAAGGUACCAAUGAAAUGAGGUAUGACAAAUCUAAAAUUGAGUGUCAUAACUGUCAAAAAAUUGGACAUUAUUCUUGGGAAUGUCGUAGUAAUGUUGAAGAGAAAGCUAAUCUUGUUGACAACAACAAAGAUUAAGAUGAGUCAACAUUGUUAUUGACAUUUAAAGAAGAAAAUACGGAUAACUGUAGUUCAUGGUAUCUUGUAAAUAGAGAAAGCAAUCAUAUGUGUGGCCACGAAGACACAAGUCUGUAGAGAUAAAGAAGACUGUGAAAGGUAAUGUGUCUUUUGGAGAUACCUCAAAGAUCCAAAUUGAAGGAAUAGGUACGAAUCAAAUAUCCUGUAAAGAUGAUGGCCAUAAAUUUAUUAACGAUGUUUAUUAUGUUCCAAAAUUGAAAAGUAAUUUUUUGAGUUUGGGUCAACUUUUUGAAAAAUGAUAUGAUAUUCGUAUGAAAAAUAUGCAUUUUUGGCUUAGAGAAUCAAUUAACAACUUAAUUGCUAAAGUUCAUAUGGCAAAGAAUAGGUUGUUCCCUUUGAAUCUUAAGACAAUCGAUGCAAAGUGUUUGAAGGCUAAUGUGUAAGAUGGCUCAUGGUGUUGGCAUAUGCGAUUUAGACAUGAACUUUGAAGUGCUCAAAUCAAUGGGAGACAAGAACAUGACUGAUGGAAUUCCGUCAAUCAACCAUCCCAAUCAGCUGUGUGAAGCCUGUCUUCUUGGAAAACAUGCGAUGAAGAGUUUUUCAAAGGAGACUACAUCAAGAACAAGUAAGCCACUCCAACCUAUACACACCAAUUUGUGUGGUCCAAUCGAUCCACCUUAUUUUGGUAAAAGUAAAUACUUCUUGCUCUUUAUUGAUGAUUUUUGUAGAAAGACUUGGGUAUACUUUUUGAAUAAAAAAUUUGAGGGUUUUGUGGCUAUUAAAAAUUUCAAAGCACUUGUAGAAAAAUAAAGUGGCUAUGAAAUAAAAGUCUUAAGGUCUGAUAGAGGAGGUGAAUUCACUUCAAAAGAAUUUAAUGAUUUUUUUUAAUCUCAUGGAAUUUGUCGCCUUCUGACGGUACCUUACUCGCCACUAAAAAAUGGAGUUGCAGAAAGAAAAGAUCAAUUUUUAAUAUGGUUAUAUGUAUGUUGAAAGCUAAAUAUCUACCAAAAGAAUUUUGAGCCGAGGCUGUUUCUUGUGCACUUUAUUUAAGCAACAGGUCUCCAACAAAAAAUGUUCGAGAUCAAGCUCCUCAGGAAGCAUGGAGCAGAAGAAAGUGAAGUAUCAAGCACUUGAGAACCUUUGGGAGCAUAGCCUAUGAUCAUGUUCCACAUCAAGGGAGAGCUAAACUUUAUGAUCAAAGUGUCAAGCAUGUGUUUGUUGGAUAUGACGCGAGUUCAAAACGCUACUCUAUAAUCAUAGCAAAUAUUCAGCUAUUUCUUAUGAAGUUAAAAGCAAACAGUGUAUCAAACUCCACAUGUCAAAUUUCCACAAUUUUCAAAAUCUUGUGUAGAAAAAACUACCAUUGCAAACAAUACCUUUUCAUAAACCUCUUCCUGCCAGUCACCUCCAUUUGCAUUUGCAGUUGAACUGUAGAAUCUAAAAGUGCUACAAACAAAAAUAAUAAUAAGUAUAGCACAAUUAUUAAAGAACUUGAUUGCUUACAUCAUUAAAAUUUCAAGCAAAUUUUGGGACAGUGUUAAAUAUUUCAGAUGCUAAUACAUUUUAAUUUCCCUCUAAAUGUACUUGUCUAAAACAUUUUAACUUCCCUCCAACAUAAAAAAUUUUAUUACCAUUCAUAAGUGCACUCUAUUGGAUAAUAUUGUAAUUACAAUUAAUUUUACAAAUCUAUGCCAUUUAUUUAGCCGAGGGUCUAUCUACCCUACAGAGGUAAGGUAAGGAUUGUAUACAUCCUACCCUCAGCGUCGAAAAUUAAUAUUUUCACACAAAAAAUAUUUUUUAAAUUAUAUAUUUCGUAUAAACUUUUACAUAUGCAAUAUAAUUCUUCACAGUAGGGUAACUGGCUACCGUUCAUUGUAUGUGGCUACGUCUCUCCCCAAACACCACAGACACCACUAGUAGGAUUAUACUAAGGAGUUGUUUGGUUUGAGGUAUAAAGUAUAAUAAUUCUAGGAUAAAAUGUAGGAUUAUAUAUUUUAUCCUGUAUUUGGCUAGAGGUAUUAGGUAGUCAUGAGAUUAUUGAUACCACAAUUUAUACCUUAGUGAUGGGAUAAGUUAUUCAUACACAUGAAGUGAAGAGAUAACUUAUCCCGGGAUAACUUAUCCCUCCCAACCAAAUGACCCCUAAGUAUGUUGUUGUACUCUUUCGAUGAUAAAGAAUUCAUAGUGGUCCAAUAAAAUAAAACCAUCUAUGCCAUUAUUGUUGUUUACUAUUUUUUACCCUUUUUUAUAGCCAAGAAAUCCCUGUGGUCAAUGACGUAGUCGCCUAGAGUUAGAAACUCAUAAGAUAAUGGGUCCACCCUCUACCCUUCAUCAUUUCCUUUUUUUUUAUUUAUGACAAGAGAAUCACGAUCACUACUCUUUUUAGGGUUCACAGAGUAAAACUUUCCCACAAAUUACAUAGGAGAGAUAAACCAUACUAGACAAUCCCCCAUGAGGAAUCAUAUAGGAAGAUUUCAAACCUGAGACUCCCAGUGGGAGAUCCCUUGCAAUUCCACGAAUAUGUAGUAGUAGUAGUGUAUAAUCAUUGACAAAAAAAGAACAAAAAAUCAAGUAGAGGUUAAAAUCAGAAAAAUGAAAUUACUUCUUGUUGGCCAUUCUACGGUCGAAGCUCCAGUGGCAGCCAUGGCCAGGGCGGUACUCUCACAAUCUUGAGUAUUACUAUACAUAUCAAUUUUGAUCAACUUUUUCCCCCUAAUGUGAGCCCUAGUGUAUAUUUAUAUAAUAUAGAAUUAAUUUUUUGUAUGGUCUCUCAAGUAAUAAUUUUUAUCUCACAAACUCACUCAACUUUUUUUUGUAAGACAAAGGUCACUCAACCAAUGACAAUUAUCUCAAAAAGUUAUUCAAUUUUAUUUUAUAAUUUAAAAGUCAUUCAACUUUGUUUUGUAACAUAAAGGUCACUCAACUAAUGAUAUUUAUUUGGGAUAAGGCACAAGUACCCCCCUAGACUAUGACCGAAAUCUCAGAGACACACCUUACGCAAUUGAGGCGCGUGGGAGAUAUUUGGAUGUCAUGUAAGCCAAAAAGGUGUACAAAAUUACAAAAAAAAUAAGUUUAGGAGGGUAAUAGGACCUUAGUUUAGUUAAUGUGUGUCUCUGAGAUUUCGAGCAUAAUCUAGGGGGUACUUGUGCCUUUUUCCUAUUUAUUUUGAAAAGUUAUUCAACUAUAGUUUAUAAUUAAAAAAAUCACUCAAUUGUUAUCAUUUCACCUACAAAAUCAUGUUGAUUGUGUGAUCACAAAAGAAAUUAGCAUAUAUAUUGAGUUCAUAACGAAUCUGUUUCGAUAUAUGUCUACAGAUUGGAAGUGUUUGAACUAUUUUAUCCUCUUCUCACCGGUCCCUUCAUCGGAGAGGUCGAUUUCCCCUACAUGGGGCAGCUUGGAGUUAAUGAAGGUCCAGAUAUUUUGGAAAUGGUCCAGCUUUUGUGACUUUUCCUUUUAUGAUUUUUCUUUAGAUUUAUUUGUUUCCUAUUUCUUUUUCGGGGUUGGGCCACUUUUGGGCUUAUACCCUUGUAAUUAUUGAUCCUCUUUUGUUUCUAAUAAAAUCAUCGAUUUGGCUUUAAAAAAGAACUUAUUAUAAGGGCAGAUCUUGAAAGAGAAAGACAAAAAUGUUUUUUCUUUUUAAAAAAUCCAUUGUUAAAUUAUUAUAAAACAAAGAAAGGAUAAUAACUAUUUUGGUCUUAAGAAGAGAGUUCAAAGGAAAAAUUGAGAUAUCAUUAGUAACUGAAAAGAUAUACAAACUGCAAAAAAUUAUUUUAAAUACAUGAGAUCUUAGAACAAAACAAAAAGAUAAAUGAAUUUGAGACUUGAUAGAUUACAAAUUUUGUGAGUCAUAAUUAUCUCAAGAGUUCUAAAAGGAUCUUAGCCAACAACAGUGGCGGAGCCAGAAUUUUCACUUAGAGGGUUCAAAAUAUGAAUAAGUAAAUACAUGAAGAAGUCAAACGGGGUUCAACAUCUAUUAUAUAUACAUUAAAAAAAUAUUAAGCAUGUAUAAACAAUGUAACUUUUUGCCGAAGAGAGUUUGGAUGAACCCCUCAGUCUUACUUAGGUCCACUCCUGGCCAACAAUCUUUCUAACUUUUUGGAACGAUUCUCAAUUUUUUCUAAUCAUUCCUCAACAUGUGCCUAAAGGUGUAUCCAAGAUUUCAAAACAACCAAAAUGUGUCAGGGGUUGAUCAUCGAAACCUGGGAAAUAACGAUUUAGGAAUUUGAGUGCUGAUGUAGCUAAGAGUCACCUUCAUAAUCAAUUCAUUAGGGUCACGCUUAACUUCUAUUCCCAAGAAAUAAUUAAGCUCACCAAGAUUCUUUAGUGAGAACCUGCUAGCCAAAGAGUUGAUGACCUGCGCAACUAAGUUUGGAUGGUUCCCACUAAUAAGAAUAUCAUCCACAUAUACUAAAAUGUAAACAGUAANNNNNNNNNNNNNNNNNNNNNNNNNNNNNNNNNNNNNNNNNNNNNNNNNNNNNNNNNNNNNNNNNNNNNNNNNNNNNNNNNNNNNNNNNNNNNNNNNNNNUUACGACUAGGGGGUGCUCCCGGGUCGUGACAAGUAUUUUGAGGUUUUGCCAAAUAAUUUUUGAUAAGGAGACUCAUUAUUUAAACCUGGAGCAGGAAGUCUAUUUAUUAGAUAGACUGCAUGGUGACAGGCAAAGGACCACAAUUCAGGAGGAAGUGAGGCUUUAUUGAGAAGAGUUCUUGUUGUUUCGACAAUGUGACGAUGUCGUCGUUCAGCUGUGGCGACUCGUUGAGGAGUGUAAGGUGGUGAAAUUAAAUGUUCAAUGACCUUUUGUUGUAGGUAGUGUUUAAGACCCAUGUAUUCACCCCCGCCAUCUGUAUAAACAGAGGCAAUUUUGUGUUUGAAAAAAAUUUCCACCAAAGGAUGAAAUUAGCUUCAACUUCCCUUUUAUUUUUUAUUGUAUACAACCAAAUAUAUUUGGUGUAGUGAUCAACAAAGAUGCAGUAAUACAACUUUUUAUCAAUGGAUAAAACGGGUGAUGGACCCCAUAAAUCACUGAAUAAAGUUUGUAAUGGAGCAUUGCUAUUAAAAGUGAGUUGUUGAAAUGGCAAACGAUGAGCUUUAUUGGAUGAACAAGAAUUACAAAACUCAAACUUUUCUUUGCUAGAAGUAGGAAGUGAAAAUUUAUUUAGGACAAAAUCUAGAAUUUUCAAAUGAGGAUGACCAAGGCGACGAUGCCACAGUUGUCGAGAGACUUUGAUGGAGGUGAAAUUGAUGGAGGGAAGAUUAUGACGCAUAUGUGGCCACUCAUAGAGUCCAUUUUUGUUUCGGCCUCGUACCAGUAGUCUCCGAGUUUUGAGGUCCUUCACAUGAAAAGAGUAUGGAAAAAAUUCAACAGAGGUUAGAUUGUCACUACAAAACUUGGCAACUGAUAUGAGAUUCUUUUUUAUAGAAGGAACACAAAGAGUGUCAGAAAGCAUGAAAUUAGCAUUAGAAGCUUUUAUUUGAGUUAGACCUCUUGAAACCGAUUCAUUAGUGUUACUUAAAAUUCUGACUAGAGUGUGGGAAGUGCCAUGGAAUAUUAUAGGGAUAACGGAAGAUAUAUGGGGAUUAGCAGAAAUGGUCCAAUUUCAAAUUCAGCACAUUUAUAGAGAAGGAAAUUGUUUGGCUAACUGCAUAGCCAACUUAGCUUUUGAUAACCAAAGCAGACUUGUUUAUAAUUCUAAAGGGCUGAGGAAUAUGGACCUACAGCAGUGGCAAUCACUAUUGAGAUAAACAUGUGGUUAUCUAUUUGUUAGUAUUUUAAGUUUAAAUUUUGAAUUAGUUUGAAUAAGUCAACUAAUCUUUUAGAUAAGAUUAAGUUGUUAGAUUAGUUGCUUAAAGCUAGUCGAGUUAGUUCCUUUAAGUUAGUCAAGUUAGUUGCAUUUACUUGUAUUUAAGCAGAUGUAAGCAAUGAAUAAAAUCAUUCAAGUUUUCUUUUAAUUCUCAAUCUCUUUAUGGUAUCAGAGCUUAAGGUUGUAUCUCGUGCUCUUAUGGCGGCAGAGAUCUCACGAUACUCAGGACCCAAGCCACUCAAGAUCUUGACAGCGAGUUCUUCAUCAGCUACUGGUGAACCAGCUACUUUGAGAGCAUCAGCAAUUGAUCUAAUUUCUUGUAAGUAAUUAGCAACAGACCUGUUGGCCUUUUUCAAAUUUUGCAACUGAUCUCGCAGGCUGAAGAUGCGAGUGUGACUCCUGUUGGCAUACGCCGUAUGAAGGAGUUCCCAGGCCAGUUUAGCCGAGGAAGCCGUUGCAACCAUGGGAGUAAUGGUAAGAUCGACUGAUGCCAUCAUUGCCUGUUGGAUCAGUUGAUCCUGGCAGAACCACAUUUCAAAUUCAGGAUUUUUUAUAGUGGUAUCAUUAUGAGUGAUGGUGGAUGGCGGAGCAGGUUUUGCUCCAGUGAGGUUCCCAAUGAGUUUGUGUCCGUUGAGUAGCAUCACCAAUUGUGCUUUCCAUGUUGCAAAGUUAAGAUUACCUGCUCCAGGUUUAAAUAAUGAGUCUCCUUAUCAAAAAUUAUUUGGUAAAACCCCAAAAUACUCUUUGCUAAAAAAAUUUGGUUGUCUCUGUUAUCCAUGGCUCAAACCAUAUACUCAAAAUAAAUUUCAACCAAGAUCCACACCUUGCGUAUAUUUAGGAGUUUCAAUUGUUCAUCAUGCACACCUAUGUUUUGAUCCAAUAAAUUCAAAGGUAUUUGUUAGUCGUGAUGUACAAUUUUUUGAAACUAUUUUUCCUUUUACCAUCAUGUUCUCACAGUUAAAAAAUAAAUUUUCCAAGAUAAACUGGGAAAUAAUAGAAUCCCAUUCAGAAAAGACUUCAAAAAAUCAACAGACUUUGGACUCCAACCUUGUUCCAACUCUUCUGCCACCUAUCCCAUCUCCUUCUAGUUAUCCACAAGAUUUGAACUCAUCCUCAAAUAAUCAAGAGUCCGUGACGGANNNNNNNNNNNNNNNNNNNNNNNNNNNNNNNNNNNNNNNNNNNNNNNNNNNNNNNNNNNNNNNNNNNNNNNNNNNNNNNNNNNNNNNNNNNNNNNNNNNNNNNNNNNNNNNNNNNNNNNNNNNNNNNNNNNNNNNNNNNNNNNNNNNNNNNNNNNNNNNNNNNNNNNNNNNNNNNNNNNNNNNNNNNNNNNNNNNNNNNNNNNNNNNNNNNNNNNNNNNNNNNNNNNNNNNNNNNNNNNNNNNNNNNNNNNNNNNNNNNNNNNNNNNNNNNNNNNNNNNNNNNNNNNNNNNNNNNNNNNNNNNNNNNNNNNNNNNNNNNNNNNNNNNNNNNNNNNNNNNNNNNNNNNNNNNNNNNNNNNNNNNNNNNNNNNNNNNNNNNNNNNNNNNNNNNNNNNNNNNNNNNNNNNNNNNNNNNNNNNNNNNNNNNNNNNNNNNNNNNNNNNNNNNNNNNNNNNNNNNNNNNNNNNNNNNNNNNNNNNNNNNNNNNNNNNNNNNNNNNGGUAACUUACAAGAGGAGGUAUUCAUGGCUCAGCCAAAAGGCUAUGUCAAUUCUGAUUUUCCAGAUCAUGUAUGCAGCCUUAAAAAGGCCAUUUAUGGCCUAAAACAAGCCCCGCGCGCCUGGUAUGAGGCCCUCACGGCUUAUUUGAAUACUAUUGGAUUUGUUAAGUCCGAAUCAGAUGCCUCACUGUUCAUUUUUAAAUCCCUGGCUGUUACUGUUUACAUUUUAGUAUAUGUGGAUGAUAUUCUCAUUACUGGGAACCAUCCAAACUUAGUUGCGCAGGUCAUCAACUCUUUGGCUAGCAGGUUCUCACUAAAGAAUCUUGGUGAACUUAAUUAUUUCUUGGGAAUAGAAGUUAAGCGUGUUCCAAAUGGGAUCAUCCUAUCUCAAUCUCAAUAUAUUCUUGAGAUUCUAUCUGAUGUGGAUAUGACAGAUUGCAAAGGGGUUGCCACACCGAUGUGCUCCAGCUCGCCACCUAAAGCAGAUGAUGGUUCACCCCCCGCCGAUGAAACCCUCUAUCGACGCACUCUGGGUAAGCUGCAAUACUUAUCAUUCACGCGUCCUGACAUCUCAUUUGCAGUAAACAAAUUAUCCCAAUUUAUGCAUUCUCCAAGUCUGGAACAUUGGAAGGCUGUAAAAAGGGUUCUGCGCUACCUCAAAUCAACAACAACAUCGUGCUUGGAAAUUCGUCAUCAUGCUGAUUGGAAUUUGUAUAUGUAUGAUGAUGCUGACUGGGCAGGUGAUCCCAGUGAUAGAAUCUCAACAUCGGGUCAUAUGCUCGUCUUGGGACCAAAUCCCAUAUCUUGGUCCGCUAUGAAACAACCAAAAUGUGUCAGGGGUUGAUCAUCGAAACCUGGGCAAUAACGAUUUAGGAAUUUGAGUGUUGAUGUAGCUAAGAGUCACCUUCAUAAUCAAUUCAUUAGGGUCACUAUACUAUCGUUAGAUUUAAUGCUAUAAAUUUUUGCCAAGACAACGACUUCACAAGUAAACUAUAAUUAAUAUUGCCAUCACAGAAAAAAUAACAAAUUUUUAUAUUUUAAAAUGAUUUAAAUAGUUCAUUAUUUAAGGAAACACGCCUCAAAUCAAAGAAAAUAAUAGUAGAAAGACAAAAAAAAAGAUCAUAGAAAUAUUGAGAAAAAUUGUAAACUUUGUUUGUAAAAAUGUUGCUAAAGAUUCAAACAUAAACUUUUUUGGAGAUGAUAUUUCGAAUUUUAGUCUGAGUUCCCACAUAAAAUUUAUGUAAUUUAUCAAAAUAAUUUCAGUACUUCACAUAAUCUAGGGAAGAAUGCAUAGGUUCACUAGUACUUUACAUAAUCUAAGAAGGGUUGCAUAUGUUCACGAGAAUUUUACAUAGUCUAGGGAGGGGUUCAUGGGUUCAUGUGAGCCCAUACCUUUUCCAUGUAAAUCUGAUCUGGCAUGCGCUAAACAUUCAUCAUGUUUAGUACUAGAACUCAUGUAACACCUCGGUAUUUGAAAGAGCUAAAAAUAGAAAGAACUAAAUUGGAAAUAAGCUGCUAAAUCUGAAAAUUUUCAAGUUAUGCUUAAGUUAUGAGUUUGGGUCAACUUCAAACGACCAUAACAUUCAGUACAAGAUGAUUUAGGUGGCCCAUAAGAUAUCAAAUGAAAGUUCUUGGAACCCUCUUUCCAACACCACCGAGUUUGCUAAAUUUCGAGCUCGUAUGAGGGAGAUAUGGUUGAUUGAAGUUGGGUUGUCCAGUUAAGGAAAGUUACCCUAAUUUAAGAGGGGUAUUUUGGUCUUUUCCUUACCUAAUCUGAUUUAAGCGAAUUUUAGUAAUAUUUAGGGGUAUAAACUGUAUUGGUUCAGUUUUCACAAUCCUAAGUUCACAAUCCUAAUUACGCUUAGGAUUUUAAAAGAAAGUUCAAGAAGAGAAAAGAGGAGAAAGUUCAAGACGUUCUUCAAGUUUGCUUGCGAAUCGAAGGUUGUUUCGCCAAGGGUUUGAUCCCUAAGAGGUAUGUGAGUUCUCAUAGUAUUGGGUUCAUUCACCCACAUAUCAAUCAUGUUAUUUUUAGCAAGAUUUCGUUCUUGAAGUUGAAGAGUUUGAAUUCAUGAUAUGUUUCUUCAAGUAUUGUUUCCGUUCUUGAAUUGGGAUGGGUUUUGAUGAGUUCUUGAGAAAAGUUUGCAUAUUUUAAGAGAUUUUUUUAGAAGAUUUUAGUGUAAUUUGGUUGGAUAUUCGAAUCUAAGUGAUUGGGAAAGAAACCAUUCGAUUCUAGGCGAAUUAGGGUCAUAAAAUGAGAAGAAAAUUCAUCGGAAAAGGAUCUAGGCAAAGGCUGCGCCAGCCAGUGUGCCCCAACUACACUUCAGUAGUUCAGGGGCUGGCUCCCAACGCCAACUAGUGCGUCAGGGUCGCCUUCCCCGUCAUGUCUUCAGUUGUCUAACCCGUCUGAGUUCCUUUAAAGUGUUCCUUCAAUCCCUAUUGAUUCUAAACACUCUAAACUACUUCUAAACAUCGAGAAAAUCAUUCAUAACAUGAAUCAUAACCUUCAAUUAAUAAUUCAAAUUCAAGGAAGAGCUAAGAGUAAAGUUUUGAGAAUUUCUUCGAGUCUUUUAAGAAGACUUUUGCAAACCUUUGUAAACUUGUUUUAAGACUUGAGCACUUGAGUUAAGAAAGAGUAGAGUUGAGUUUAUUUUCUUUAAAAAGAUAGAUGGGAACUAAAUAUUCUCAAGAGUAAAUGUUUUCACAUUUAAGAUGAGUGGAAACACAGAUUUCCAAAAGAGUUUUCAUGAGCAGUUUUCAGUACCAUCUCUUUAAGAGAGAGAUUUUGAGUAAUAAUCUCAAACCACAGAAAGAGUUAUGUUUUUAAACAUAUGAGCUAGUUACAUUUUGGGAGUAGUGUUGAGCACCGAUAUGGGGACGAGUUUAGAUAACUCAAAGUCUCCAUAAACCAUGUAGCCAAUGUGGGUAGAAAGGGUCAUACUUUUUAGAUGAUUCCUUAACGUUUUUAGCAUAGACUAGUGGAUCCACUUAGUAGUAGGUCCUAUACCCUGACAAAGUAUGGGACAGUUUUGGCAACGUGGCCUAGACGAUGUAUCAUCACAUAGCUCAUAGUGAUGGUUGUCGAUUAGAGAAUCUCCCACAGAGCUACUUGUAUUUUUUGUAUACAAACUAAUUUAUAUUGUAUUUUCUAAUACAUUGAGUUAUUGUCUACUGUUAUAAAAGCUUUUCUUUAUAUUGCAUAUUUAUCACUGCUUUAUAUUGAAAUGAGUUGAGUUGAGUUGAGACGAGGUAAGUUGUUUCUUCAGUUCUUCUUCAAGCUCAUGUCAUGUUUAGAUUUCCUCUCACAUGCUCGUACAUUCCAUGUACUGACGCCAUUUGGCCUGCAUCUUUUAUGAUGCAAUACAGAAACCAGGAUCAGCAUUCAGCGCUUCGUUGAUCCAGUUGAGCUUCAGAGUUAUUGAUGAGCCUCUAUGCUUUCGGAGGAUCCUUUGUUUACUUUCAGUCAUUUCUUUUUGUUAUUAGGAUGUCGUGGGUCUUUUCAAUAGAGGCUUCAUAGAUAGAUAGACAUUAGUUCAUGAGUCUUUUCAUUUUCAGUUGUUUAUGUUGAGACUUGAGUUGCCUCUUUGGCUAGUGAAUGUUUAUUUCUAAACUAUUCUAAGUUGUCUGAUUUGAGACCUUUCUGAGUUAAAGCUGUCAUUUGAGUUUAUUCUAUGUUGAGUAAGUCUUCCGCUAAGAGUUAAGCCAAGCCAAGGGUUCUCUUGGAGCCAAAAAUGUUUCUUGAGUGCCAGUAGCAUCCAGGGUGUAGGCUUGGGGCGUGACAAACUUGGUAUCAGAGCACAUAGUUCAAGAUUCCUAGGGUGUCUAUGAAGUCGUGUCCUUAGAGUCCUAAUUAUUGGUAUGAAGCGUGCCACAUCUAUAAUUAGAAGGCUGCGACAUUUGGGAACUAUCUCACUUCUUUCAUACUUUUUUGUACGAUAGAGUGCAUCUCUAUAAAGUUUCUCUCUAAUUCAUGCUUACGCAUAUCUUUCAGAUCAUGCCUCCACGAAGAGCUUUCUAAGGUCGUCCUGCUAGGAAAAAUGUUGAUCCUCAGGAUCAAGGGGUCCCCAAUGCACCAGAAGUGUAACCCCAAGGAGAGGUCACUAAUGUUGAGUUCCGGGAAGCUAUCCGGAUGUUGAGCCAAGUUGUGACCAACCCAAGUUGGGAAACAGAGAGAGAUGUGAUAGAAUGUUGCUAAUACGUCAAGGAUCUGUGAGUUCUUAAGGAUGAAUCCUCCUAACUUCACCGAUUCAAGUAUCACUGAGGAUCCGGAAAACUAUGGGGAAGAGCUUCAGAAGGUUUUUGAGGUUAUGUAUGUUGCUUCUGCUGAGCUAGUAAAACUAGUUGCAUACCAAUUGAAGGGUGUUGCUAGGAUCUGGUUUGACCAAUAGAAAAAGAAUAGAGUUGAGAGGCACCGAUUGUGAGCUGGGUUGUGUUUGAGGAGGCCUUCUUGGGGUGUUUCUUUUUCGGUGAACUGAGAGAGGCCAAGGUAAGGGAGUUUCUUACUCUUAAGUAGGAAUCCAUAAGCGUACAUGAGUACAGCCUUAAGUUCACCCAACUGUCUCGUUAUGCCUCGAAGAUGGUUGUUGACAUGAGAAGCAGGAUGAGUCUGUUUGUUGUUGGGUUGUCUCGUCUAUCAAGUAAGGAGGGCAAGGAAGCUAUGCUGAUAGGAGAUAUGGACAUAGCAAGACCUAUGAUCCAUGUGCAGUAGGUUGAGGAAGAUAAGCUAAGAGAUAGGAAAGAGUUCCAGAACAAGAAAGCUAAGACGACAGGAAAUGAGUCCAGACAGCAGAAAAGUAAUGCAAACUGGUCUUCUUUCAACAUAAGCAAAAUGGACCUGCUCCAUCAUCUUCUAGUACACCUACACCAAGGAACAGAGGUGAGUUCAAGAAUCUAAAUUCGCAGAAUUUCAGAGCUAGACCUGCACAGUCUCAAGGUAGUGUGGCACAAGAAGGUAAUUGGACUCCCGCAUGUCCUAAGUGUGGUAGGACCCAUUCAGAAGUGUGUCUUGAUGGCUCCACUGGUUGCUUCAAGUGUGGUCAGAAUGGUCACUUCAUGAAAGAGUGCCCUAAGAACAGGCAGGGCGGUGGUAAUGGGGGAAAUAAAACCCAAUCUUCUUCAGUGGCUCCACCAGACAGAGUUGCACCUAGAAGAGCUACUUCAGGGACUGGUGGAGGAGCAAACCAUUUGUAUGCAAUCACCAGUCGCUAAGAGAAAGAGAAUUAUCCAGAUGUUGUCACUGGUAUGAUCAAAGUCUUUAAUUUUGAUGUAUAUGCCUUGCUAGAUCCAGGAGCGAGUCUAUCCUUUGCGACUCCUUAUAUUGCUAUGAAUUUUGAUAUUCUUCCCGAGAAACUUUUUGAGCCUUUCAAUGUUUCUACACCUGUUGGUGAGUCUAUUUUAGCUGAGAGAGUUUAUCGUGAUUGUACCAUUUCCGACAAUCACAAGGACACCAUGGCUGACCUAGUCGAGUUAGACAUGGUAUAUUUUGAUGUUAUUCUAGGUAUGGACUGGCUUCAUGCUUGUUAUGCCCCAGUUGAUUGUAGAACUCGAGUAGUUAAGUUCCAGUUUCCUAAUGAGCCAGUUAUAGAGUGGAGGAGUAGUUUAGCAGUACCUAAGGAUCAUUUUAUUUCAUACCUUAAGGCGAGAAAGUUAGUUUCCAAGGGUUGCAUCUAUCACUUAGUCCGAGUUUAUGACUCUAGUGUUGAGACACUACCUAUUUAGUCAGUUUCAGUAGUAAGUGAGUUUCCAGAAGUCUUUCCAGUUGAUCUUCCCGGAGUUCGUCCUGAGAGAGAAAUAGACUUCAGUAUAGAUAUUCUUCUUGAUACUCGUCUUAUCUUGAUUUCGCCAUAUAGAAUGGCACCAGUAGAGUUGAAAGAGUUAAAAGAGAAGUUGAAAGAUUUCCUUGAGAAAGGUUUCAUUCGACCAAGUAUCUCACCUUGGAGCGCUCCAGUCUUAUUUGUGAGGAACAAAAAUGGUUCUCUUAGAAUGUGUAUAGAUUAUCGUCAGUUGAAUAAGGUUACUAUCAAGAAUAAGUAUCCACUUCUAGGAAUUGAUGAUCUUUUCGAUCAACUUCAGGGUGCCACUUGUUUUUCUAAGAUAAACCUCAGAUGAGGAUAUCAUCAGUUGAGAGUAAGAGAAAGUGACAUCCCUAAGACAACAUUCAGGACCCUCUAUGGUCAUUAUGAGUUCCUGGUCACUUUUUGUCUAACUAAUGCUCCUGCAACAUUCAUGGAUCUUAUGAACAGAGUAUUCAAGCCUUAUCUAGAUAUGUUUGUUAACGUUUUCAUUGAUUCUAAGUGUGAAUUUUGGCUUGGGUAUGUGGAAUUCUUAGGCCAUAUUAUUUUUGGUAAUGGGAUUUCAGUUGACACUUAAAAGAUAAAGGUAGUGCAAAACUGGCCUAGACCCACAUCUCCAACUGAUAUUAGGAGUUUUUUGGGAUUGGCUAGUUAUUAGAGCAGGCUUGUCGAGGGGUUCUCAUCUAUUUCACCCCCUUUGACUAAGUUGACUCUGAAAAUAGUUAAGUUUCAAUGGUCUGAAACUUGUGAGAAAAGCUUUCAGGAAUUGAGAACUAUGUUGACUACUGCUCUAGUGUUGACCUUACCAGAAGGUACCCAAUGUUUUGUUGUGUAUUGUGAUGCGUCCAGAGUUGGAUUGGGUUGUGUAUUGAUGCAGAAUGGCAUCGUUAUAGCUUAUGCCUCCAGACAGCUUAAGAUUCAUGAGAGGAAUUACCCAACCCAUGAUCUAGAGUUGGCUGAUGUAGUUUUUGCUUUGAAAAUAUGGCGUCACUAUCUUUAUGGUGUUCAUGUGGAUGUAUUCAUCGAUCAUAAAAGUCUUUAGUAUAUAUUCAGUCAGAAAGAGCUUAAUCUCAGACAGAUAAGGUGGUUGGAGUUACUCAAGGAUAAUGACAUGAGUAUUCUCUAUCACUUGAGUAAGGCUAAUUUUGUUGUUGAUGCCUUGAACAGGUUAUCUAUGGGUAGUACGGCCAUGUUGAGGAAGGAAAGAAAGAGUUAGCAAAAUAUGUGCACAGACUUGCACGAUUGAGAGUCUGGUUAAUGGAUUCCAAUGAAGGUGGAGUGGUGGUGAUGAAUGGGGUUGAAUCAUCAUUAGUGUCCGAAGUGAAAGAGAAGCAAGACCAAUACCCUGUUUUGCUUGAAUUGAAGGCAAAUGUUCAUAAGCAGAAAGUGAUGGCUUUUGAACAAGGAGGAGAUGGUGUAUUGAGGUAUCAAGGCAGAUUAUGUGUGCCAAGGGUUGAUGAACUUCAAGAGAGGAUCAUAGAGGAAUCUCAUAGCUCCAUAUAUUCUAUCCAUCCGGGUUCAACAAAGAUGUAUCGUGACCUGAAAGAAGUCUAUUGGUGGAAUAGUAUGAAAAAGAGUAUUGCAGAGUUCGUUGUUAAGUGCAUGAAUUGCCAACAAGUCAAGGUAGAGCACCAGAGGCCCGGUGGUAUGGCUCAGAAUAUAGAAAUUUUGGAAUGGAAGUUGGAGAUGAUCAAUAUGGAUUUUAUUACUGGUUUGCCACAGUCUCGCAGACAGCAUGAUUCUAUUUGGGUGAUCGUAGAUUGAAUGACUAAAUCAGCCCACUUUUUGCCGGUAAAGACUACUCAUUCAGCAGAGGAUUAUGCCAAGUUAUGUAUUCAAGAGGUAGUUAGACUUCAUGGAGUUCCAGUGUCGAUUAUUUCAGAUAGAGGCGCACAAUUUACUGUACAAUUCUGGAAGUCUUUCCCGAAAGGUUUGGGUUCGAAUGUGAACUUGAGUACUGCUUUUCAUCCUCAGACCGAUAGUCAAGCAGAGUACAAUUCAGACUUUAGAGGAUAUGUUGAGGGCAUGUGUGAUCGAUUUCAAGGGUAAUUGGGAUGAUCACUUACCUCUCAUAGAGUUUGCUUACAACAAUAGUUAUCACUCUAGCAUUUAGAUGGCUCCUUUUGAAGCUCUUUAUGGGAUAAGAUGUAUAUCUCCUAUUGGAUAGUUUGAGGUUGGUGAAUCUGGGUUGAUAGGGCCAGACUUGGUCCAUCAAGCUAUGGAGAAAGUGAAAGUUAUUCAAGAAAGGUUGAAAACAGCGCAGAGUCGUUAUAAAUCCUAUACUGAUGUUAGGAGAAGGAACUUAGAGUUUGAAGUAGAUGAUUGGGUAUACAUUAAGGUUUCACCCGUGAAGGGUGUCAUGAGAUUUGGUAAGAAGGGGAAGCUUAGUCCCCGGUAUAUUGUUCCUUACAUGAUAUCUAAGAGGAUUGGAAUGUAGCUUAUGAGUUGGAGCUACCGCAAGAGUUAGCAGCAGUUCAUCCAAAAUUUCACAUUUCAAUGUUAAAAAAGUGUAUGGGCGAUCCUUCGUCUAAAAUACCGACUGAAGAUAUUGGUAUUAAGGACAGCCUAUCUUAUGAGGAUAUUCUCGUCCAUUUCUAGAUCGUCAGGUUCGCAAGUUGAGAACCAAGGAGGUAGCAUCAGUCAAGGUCUUAUGGAGGAAUCAGUUUGUUGAGGAAGCUACUUGGGAGGCGAAGGAGGAUAUGAAGAAGAGAUAUCCACAUCUCUUUGAGUCCAGAGAAAUUCCAAAUUAAGGUACUAAUCCUUUUCUUGGCAUUUAUUUUAGUUGAAAUGUUGUGUUACUUUGCAAUUGAGUGUUUGAGCUGGGUGUUAGAUGUUACCAUCCUUAGUCUACAUAGAGUAAUCUCAUUCGAGGAUGAAUGUUCCCAACGGGGAGAUAUUGUAACACCUCGUUAUUUGAAAGAGCUAAAAAAAAAAAAAAAACUAAAUUGGAAAUAAACUAAAUCUGAAAAUUUUCAAGUUAUGCUUAAGUUAUGAGUUUUGGUCAAUUUCAAAUGACCAUAACUUUCAGUACAUGAUGAUUUAGGUGACCCAUAAGAUAUCAAAUGAAAGGUCUUGGAAUCUUCUUUCCAACGCCACCAAGUUUGCUAAAUUUCGACCUCGUAUGAGGGAUAUCUGGCCGUUUGAAGUCGGGCUACCCAGUUAAGAAAAGUUACCCGAAUUUAAGAGGGUAUUUUGGUCUUUUCCUUACCUAAUCAGAUUUAAGCAAAUUUUCAUAAUAUUUAGGGUUCUAAACUGAAUUGGUUCAGUUUUCACAAUCCUAAUUACGCUUAGGGUUUUAGAAGAAAGUUCAAGAAAAGAAAAGAGGAGAAAAGAGGAGAAAGUUCAAGGCGUUCUUCAAGAUUGCUUGAGAAUUGAAGGUCGUUUCGCCAAGGGUUUGAUCCAUAAGAGGUAUGUGAGUUCUCAUAGUGUUAGGUUCGUUCACCCACAAGCCAAUCAUGUUAUUUUCAAUGAGAUUUUGUUCUUGAAGUUGAAGAGUUUGAAUUCUUGAUUUGUUUCUUGAAGUAUUGUUUCCGUUCUUGAAUUGGGAUGGGUUUUGAUGAGUUCUUGAGAUAAGUUUGCGUAUUUUAAGAGUUGUUUUGAGUAUAUUCUUGUGCACUUUAGUUGGGUAUUCGAAUCUAAGUGAUUGGAGGAGAAACCAUUCAAUUCUAGACGAGUUAGGAUCAUAAUACAAGAAGAAAAUUCGUUGGAAAAGGAUCUGGGCAGAGGUUGGCGCCCUGCGCCAGCCAGUGCGCCCCAACUACACUUCAGUAGUUCAGGGGUUGACGCCCAGCGCCAACUAGUGCGCCAGGGUCACCUGCCCCAUCCAGUCUUUUGUUGUUUAACCCAUCUGAGUUCCUUUAAAGUGUUCCUUCAAUCCCUAUUGAUUCUAAACACUCUCAACUACUUCUAAACAUUGAGAAAAUCAUUCAUAACAUGAAUCAUAACCUUGAAUUCAUAAUUCAUAAUUCAAAUUCAAGGUAGAGCUAAGAGUCAAGUCUUGAGAGUUCCUUCGAAUCUUUUAAGAAGUCUUUUUCAAACCUUUUUAAACUUGUUUUAAGACUUGAGCACUUGAGUUGAGAAAGAGUAAAGUUGAGAUCAUUUUCUUUAAAAUGAUAUAUGGGAACUAAGUAUUCCCAAGAGUAAAUGUUUUCACAUUUAAGAUGAGAGGAAACACCGAUUUCCGAAAGAUUUUUCAUGAGCAGUUUUCCGUACCAUCUCUUUUAAGAGAAGAUUUUUGAGUAAUAAUCUCAAACCACAAAAAGAGUUAUGUUUUUAAACAUAUGAGCUAGUUACAUUUGGGAGUAGUAUUGAGCACCAAUAUGGGGACGAGUUCAGAUAACUCAAAGUCUCCAUAAAUCAUAUAGCCAACGUGGGUAGAAAGGGUCAUACUUUUUAGAUGAUUCCUUAAUAUUUUAAGCAUAGACUAGUGGAUCCACUUAGUAGUAGGUCAUAUACCCCAACAAAGUAUAGGACAGUUCUAGCAGCGUGGGCUAAAUGUUGUAUCAUCACAUAGCUCAUAGUGAUGGUUGUCGGUUAGAGAAUCUCCCACAGAGUUACUUGUAUUUUUUAUAUACAAACUGAUUUAUAUUGUAUUUUCUAAUACAUUGAGUUGUUGUCUACUGUUUUAAAAGCUUUUAUUUAUAUUGCAUCUUUAUCACUACUUUAUAUUGAAAUGAGUUGAAUUGAGUUGAGACGAGGUAAGUUGUUUCUUCAGUUCCAGUUCAAGAUUAUGUCAUGUUUAGAUUUCCUCUCACCUGCUCGUACAUUCCAUGUACUGACGCCAUUUGGCCAGCAUUUUUUAUGAUGCAGAUACAGGAAACCAGGAUCAGCAUCUAGGGCUUCAUUGAUCAAGUUGAGCUUUAGAGUUAUUGGUGAGCCUCCUUGCUUCCGGAGGAUCCCUUGUUUAAUUUCAGUCAUUUCUUUUUGUUAUUAGGAUGUCAUGGGUCUUGUCCCGACGUCCAUCUCAGUUAGUAGAGACUUUUUCAUAGAUAGAUAGACAUUAGUUCAUGAGUCUUUUCAUUUUCAGUUGUUUAUGUUGAGACUUGAGUUGCCUCUUUGGCUGGUGAAUGUUUAUUUCUAAACUAUUCUAAGUUGUCUGAUUUGAGACCUUUUUGAGUUAAGGCUGUCAUUUGAGUUUAUUCUAUGUUGAGUAAGUCUUCCGCUAAGAAUUAAGCCAAGCCAAGGUUUUGCUUGCGGCCAGAAAUGAUUUUUGAGUGCCAGUCGCGUCCAGGGUGUAGGCUCGGGUUGUGACAACUCAAUCCAUCAAAUUAGAACCCAAACUAUCAAUACCAAAACCAUUUCAUACAUAACCCGCUGGAAUCCAUGGUAGAUGGCUGAUAUGCAUAUGUAUUUGGUGCUUGCUUAGGAUAUAUUUGAACGACAUAAUUUUGUAACUUAAGAGUAAACUAGCAAGAGAUCAUUCAAUUUACAUUGAGAAAAUCUUAGAAGAAAACCAAAAAGAUCAACAACAAUAUACUCUAUGUAAUCCCAUAAGUGGGCCUGGGUGGGUAGAAUGUACGCAGACCUUAUCUCUACAUUGGCGGGGUAGAGAAAUCGUUUAUGAUAGACCCUUGGCUCAAAAUAAAUGUAACUGAUGUAGGAAAGAAAGAAAAAAAAAUAGCAAUAUAUACACAAAACAAAAGCACCAUCAUAAAUUAUACCUUUUGGUAAGCCUCUUCCUUCCAAUCAGCUCCAUUUCCAUUUCCCAUCUUAGCUGAAGAAUAUAAAAGUGCUACAAAUAAAACAAAAUUGAAGACAAUAGUUGUCACGACCCGAGACUACCCUCUAGACGUGACACGGCAUACAAGACUCUGAAAAGUCUCAUACAUGCCUCUUAGCAUAUCUUGAACAUAAGAUCAUAGGAAAUAGUGCGGAAUUUAAAACUUUUCUUUAAAUACAACCGAAGUCAUUUUUCAUAAAAAGCAAGCGAAAGUCUUUUCUAUACUGUCUCAAACCAUCUACAACACUUUGAAUAGCUUUGGGACUUAGCCCAUACAAAAGCUUUAAACAUAAAGUAAAAGACAUAAAAGGGAAAUAGUGGGUUUGUCCUCGAAACUAUGAGGACUCACCAAAUCUUCAUAUCCUUGCACCUUAGAAACCUAUCUUCCAAGUAUAUGACAUCACAUCUCCAAACCCUACACUUUUGUAGAAAAUGAAGAAAUAUGGGUUAGCACAUUGAAUGUACUAAGUAUGAUACUCAUGCAAAAACCAUGCUUAAAACGAACAUUUCAUUUGAAAAUCAUUCUUUAUGCCAAUUUUGAGAAAACUUCAUGAUCAUAAGUAUAAGAGGCAUAAGAUACAACAUAUUCAACAUAUAAGCCAUUUCAUCACAUUAGAGCAUAAUUAACAUAUAAGCCAUUCCAUCACAUUAGAGCCUUCACCUUAAGUAACCCUAAGCUAUACUUUGUGCAAUGUAUGAAAAGUGUUCCAUACCACCAUCCACACUAAGUACCACAUUAAGGCCACUAAAAGCGAACUUACCAUUCAUCCUUUUCACCUUUAAACAAUACACAUACAUAAGAAACAUAAGCAUUUCAUAAGGCAUGACAAGGAAGUAACUCAUAAUACGAUCCAAGUAAAGCAUGCAUCAUUACAUUAAGCAUAUAAGAGUCAACAUUAUUCAUUAGCUUUAUUUAGAGCACUUUCAUUCAUUAGUCAUGAAGACAUUAGAGAACUCACUAUAGCCCUCUCAAAGCCUACUCGUGCAAUGCAUGGAUGGCAUCUCAUACUACCACCCACACUUCAUAUAACUUCUCAAGAAACCAUAGUGCACAUCUCACAUGAUGGGAAUAAGUGUUUAACCGACAUAGACCAUGAGAGCUAAAUCAUGGAAUCUGAUGUACUAUCCCACAUCGUAAGGAUUGGCGUACUUGCCUAAGGUAGGACCGAUAACAUUUUAGCUUAAGUGGAAUCCACUAGCUAAUAUCUUAUGUGGGCACAUAGUUAUGGGAUAGGAAGAUGUUCAUUGGAACCCGGCCUAAAUAUGGGGAGAGUUUCCAUCUUACCAUAUCCACUCAGUGCUUAGCCUUUAUUCCCAUAGAGUAGUUCAUUCACAUUAGCAUUAUUACACAUGAGAGGGUGUCAUUGGCCUACCGACCCAAAGUGCAUUACACAUGAAAGGGUGCCAUAAGCCUACCGAUUCAAGGUACAUUAUAAGGAUAGCUCAUUGAAUCCUCAUGAAAGGGUGCCAUAAGCCUACUGAUUCAAGGUUCAUCAUUUCACACAUGAAAGGGCUACCAACAUUAGGUCUACCGAUUCAAGGUUUAUCAUCAACAUUCAUGGAAGGGUGCCAUAAGACUACCGAUCCCAAAGUUUAUUAAUAUCAUUUAUGGAAGGGUGCCAUAAGCCUACCGAUCCCAAGUUUCAUUAUGAACAUGCAUGGGAGGGUACCAUUAGCCUACCGAUCCAAAGGUUCAUUAUUAACAUGCAUGGGAGGAUGCCAUUAGCCUACCGAUCCAAGUUACAUCAUUAGAAUAGGUCAUAGACUCAUCAAGUAAGGGUUACCAACAUUAGGUCUACCGAUUCAAGUUUAUUAAGUCAAGACACAUUCAUUAGUCAUUUAUGAAAGGAAUGCCAUAGGCAGAUCGAUUCAUAAUCAUUAAGUCAAUACACAUCCAUUACACAAAAGAGGAUGCCUAAGCCUACCAACUCAAGAUUCAACAAUCAACAAUACUUUCAUUCAUUCAAGAAGAGGAUGCCUAAGCCUACCAAUUCAAGAUACCAUCAUCACAUUACUUUCAUUUAUACAAGAAAAGGAAUGCAUAAGCCUACCAAUUCAAGAUACAACAUUCAAGGUCACAUUCAUCAAUACAAGAAAAGGAUGCCUCAAGCCUACCAAUUCAAGAUACAUCAAUCCACAUUACUUUCAUUUAUACAAGAAAAGGAUGCAUAAGACUACCAAUUCAAGAUACAAUGUUACAUUGAAGAAACCCUUCACAUUAUAUCAUCAUCAUUCAUAAGUGCAUAAUUGAGAAUAAGCUUUCAAUCAUAACACAAUUGCAUUCUAAACAUGAUCAUAACACUUUCAUUGAGAUCACACACAUACACUUCACAUCAUAAUCAUACAUAAAUCCUUCAUGAAAUUGCCUUCCAAAGCUAUACAUCAAUCACAACUCAAACAUCUAAGAUACUACAAUACAUAAGGGAAUUAACAUGAUUCAAUAACUAAUUCAAUAUAAACAUAAACAAUUCUACAUAUUUUCAUGAUCACUCAAUUCCCAAUCACAAUUCACAACUUAGGGUUUUGGGGUAGACAUGGGUUCAUAGGGUAAAAUCAUCUUAAUUAACCAUUAAAACAUCAAUUAAACCAUGAUUCAUCACUUAAAUGCCUUUUGAAAACGUUUGGAAUUGAACCCAUGCAUAUAUUGAAAACCCUAGGUUUUUGGGGGAUUUUGGAGACUUGAAAUCAUCUUUGAAAUUGGCUCCUUGAAAGAAACUAAGUCAAGGAUGAAGACUACCAUACCUCUUAUGGAAGAACUCCACGAAAAUCACUUGAGAAAGCUGAAAACUUGACCUUCAAAUCUUGCCUCCUUCUUCUCCAAUGGAGGUUUCUAGAGAGAGGAUUUUUGCAGAGGAGGGAAGGCUUAUAAUUUGGGUUUUGAAAUAAUGAAUUGAAAAGGUGUUUUAAUACUUUAAAAACCCUUAAAAUGCAUUAAUAUACGAAUAAUAACCGUCCAUUAACUAAACUAAAUUAAAUAGGAAAUUACUAACCUACCCUUACCUUUGGCGGAAUCUUGACGGCAUAGCAAUCAUGACCUACGCCCCAUGACCUACGGACCGUAGGUGGGGUGAUGCCCCGUCCUGUUGGUCCGUGGUUUGGGGCUAGAACAUGUCACUUUGGGGCCUGACCCACGACCCCCACCUACGGGGCGUGGGUCCAUCUACUGGCCGUAGAUGGCCAUCCGUAGAUCACUAUAUAUUUGGCAGCUUUUUGGUUUCUUGGGGUCUUGGGGGUUAGGCUUUAGGGUCCUCCUCAAGGACCCCUUGGGUGGUCCUUGGGGAGUCGUACCUUGACGUAUAACCCCUAAACCCCUCAACCUAAGCUCGGGAAGACAUUCUACCACAUGAAACCCCAUUACAACUCAAACAUACAAUCAUUAGGCUCUAGUUUCACUUACUAGAUUUUCGGGUCGCUACAAUAGUAUAGCACAAAAUAAGAAGUUGAUUGCUUACAACAUUAUAAUUUCAGGUAAAUUUUAGGACAAUGUUAGAUAUUAUUUAAGGUAUAUAGAUACAUUAUAUUUGUCAUCUAAAUGUACUUAUCUAAGAAUGGGUAUAUAUAUAUUAAGACAUAAUACAUAAACAUGACCCUUCACUUGGCUUCCGCGGACAUCUAUGCCCUCCAACUUUGAGUGUGCACAAAUAGACACUUAAACUUGUAUAAAAUUGAAUAAGUCGACACAUGUGUCCUACAUGACAUUGUACACGUAGGAUGCCAUGUAGACCACAAAAUUUUCAUGUAGGGUUCCAUGUAGGACAGAUGUGUCCAUUUGUUAAAUUUAUACAAGUUUAAGUGCAUACUUGUGCACACCCAAAGUUAAAGAUCAUAGUUGUCAGUUGACGCCAAGUUAAGGGUCAUGUUUAUGUAUUAUGUCAUAUAUUAAUAUGUUCAUCUUUUUUAUCCAUAUUUAUUUAUAUUAUAUUAAAAGCGGGAAUUCCAACUUAAAAGUUAAAUUACUAAAAAUACCCAGCUAAAUAAUCUAACCUCAAGCUAACACCCCUUCUUUAAUCAUCAGCAAUGCUUCAUAUUCAACGAGCAUGUAAGGCUACUUCACAUUUUUAGAGAUUUUACUCUCUUACAUCGUUACAUGUUUAUAUCCUUUAACACCAUACAAAUUUUGAUGCACCUAUUUUUUUCCUCUCGUCAAGAUAAUUUCUUUGCUUAUUCUUUUCUUGCUUAAAGAUAAACUCUCAACAAUUUUUUUGCUAUCCCAACAAAGAAUAAUAUGAAAAUAUAUUCCUUAAAGAUUUGGGUGUUUUCUUUUCAAAUCCAUUUUCAAAACGUGUUUUUGGUGUUAAGGAGUGUGUAUGCUUCUUGAAAGUACUGAGCAUUUUGUAGUCUUCUCAAUAUAGUUGGCGCAUUGUGUAUGUUGUCGUGGAUUCGUGGUGUUGAUUAGUUGGUUUAACUGCCUUUUAGGACAAGUUCUUAGUGCAAAUUAUGUUGAGAUUUAUAGUAUUCUUGAUAAACAAUUGUUUCAAAAUUGUUGGAUAAUUAUAUUAAUAUAUAAUUCCUGUGCAAAUUUACUUAUGUGUUUGUCGUGUGUUUGUAUUUUCUAACUCUUAUUGCACGGGUAUUUAAAGGGGAAGGUCGAGGAUUUUAGUGGGUAAUUUUUAUGUAUAAAUCACUCCGUACAUGGCUGUCUAUGCAGAUACUAUUGGUGAUGACGAAGCAAGUAGUUGAGGCGUUCGCUAGAGUUGAUCCAGUUGUUGAGGUGAAUUGUUGCAUUGUUCGUGGAGGAUUUCAAAAGAGUUAUUAACAUUUAUUCCGAGUCCUUUUGUGAUUCCUUAUAAUGCUUCAUGGUCUGGUGUGGGAUUUGGGCAAGAGUGUUAGAUUAAUAUUUUAAGAUACCAAGUGUUCAUAAUUAUUUAUCAUAUCGUUUGAAUACUUAUUUAGUUCAUCAAAUGUUGUGAAUUGAUGGUUUAAGGUAUAGAAAUUGGGUUCACUUGAAUGGUGAAGUGUGUUGGUGCCAUUCAUGCCUAAGGGAUAGUUUGGGACGUGACAUAAAUCUAAAAUUCACUCCCUGAAGUAGUAAAUACUUUGAAACUAACUCCCAAAGUAAUAGAACUUAGAACUUCAUUCCCAGAGUAGUAGAACAUCAAAAUUACUCCAAAAGUGGUAAAAUUUAGAGCUUACAUUCUUCAAAUAUUAGAACUUUAAAAUUUUCUCUUGAAGAAAAAUAAUUUGAAAAAUGUAUGUUAGCAAUUUCCGAUCUUAUGAACACAUGUGCAAGUAUUUCCUGAUCAGGUUUAUCACAACACCAGUAUCUUGAUAGGCCUUCUAGACCCCAUCUUCUCAGUCUAUCAUCUACUGAAAUCUUGAAUUUCCACAACCUCCACAUCAUAAAAGCUAUUUUGAAGGGAAUUCAUUUAGUCCAAAUCCUCUUAUGUAUUAUAUUCAGAUCUUCCUUGUGUAUUAUACAAUUCCAUGUUGAUUUGAUAGUGAAGCUUCCCCUUGAAUAUAAUACCCAACACAAUUUAUCUUUCUCCAUACUACCUUUAAGAGGUUUUAUGUAACAAAUGAUAUGCUCCACCAACUCCGUGGGAGAAUUUCCUGCAGAACCUCCACAUCCCAUUCUCCCUAUUUAGCAAGCUCCUCCACCUUAUCAUAUAUAUCGUCCCAUUCAAAGUCAUCCCCUGUGAUUGUGUAUAAAUCUCCCAACCAUGUCCAAUUAUCAGACCACACUGAUGUUGAUCCUUUUCUAGUCUGCCACAAUAUUUGGUGUUCAAUCAAACCUUGUGGCUGCAACAUCUUCUUCCACACUUGGGAACCUCCUCCUCCAACUUUCACAUUACUAAGUUAGGAUUCCUUGACUUACAAUAUUUGUUCUUCAUGUAUUCACUCCAAAGGGUUUGCCCCGUUCUAAAGUUCCACCAUAACUUACAGAAUAAAGCUCUCAACACAUUAUGCAUAAGUCUGAAUCCAAGUUCUUCUUCCUCCUUUGGUAGGCAAAGGUUGCUCCAUGUGCUCUAUUAUCUACCUCUUCCCUCUAUGCAACUAUUCCAGAUUAAAUUGGGCCAUCAUUUUUUGCACUUGUUUCAAUACAUUUCUAGGACAGUUUAUGACUAAUAAACAGUGUAUAGGAGUGUUUUGUAGGAAAUGUUUAAUCAAAAUGGCUCGGCCCCAUAUGUUAAAAGCUUACCUUUCCACCUUUGUAUCUUUGCCCCAAUCCGAUGAAUUAUUUGUUGAUUGUAUGCCUUUUGUUUCCUUUUAUAUAAGAUAGGACACCCCAAAUAUGUAAAUUGAAACUCCUUCCUUAGUAUUCAUGUAGCUACUUCAGCAACCACUAGCUUUCCUCCUGAAACACUGUGAUGCAGGUAGAUUGCACUUUUUUCUUUAUUCACCAUCUGCCCCGAUACUUUUUCAUACCUCCUAGGUACCUCACUAAUCAUAUUCAUUGUUUCAACCUCCGCAUUGCACGGUAUGUUCAUAUCAUCCCCAAAAGUAAGGUGAUUUAGCUUCAACUUCCCUUUAGACAUACCAAAUUCUUUCUCAUGAGAGCAUUUAAAGAUCUUGACAUAACUUCCGCCGCCAGUAUAAAGAGGGUGGGUGAGAGAGGAUUGCCCUAUUUUAAUACCCUUGAGGACUUGAAAAAAUUGUUGGGUUGACCAUUUAGUAGAAUUGAAUACCGUUACUACUAAUCAGUCUAAACACCAUAUCAAUGAUUCUAUCUCCAAACCCCAAUUUUCUUAAUACCUUGGCUAAAAACAGUCUCUCAACCCUAUUAUAGGCUUUCACCAUGUCCAGCUUAAUUACAAGAUUAAGCGAUUUUCCCUUUUCCCUUAUUUCUAAGAUUAUUUCUUGCAUCAUUAAUACAUUCUCAGCUAUGCUUCGCCCUUGCACAAGACCUACUUUCUCUGGUGAUAUAAAUUGAGGUAAAACAACCUCAAUUCUUUCAUGAAUAAUCUGUGAAAAAAUCUUAUUCACAAAGUUACUCAAAAGAGAUAGGCCUCAAAUCUGAAAAAGUAUUCACCAUUGUCUUCUUCGGAAUCAGUACUAAGUUUGUAUGGGUAAUAAAUCAAGGAAGUUCUGCACCAUAGGAAAAAAAAGGCUUAAGUUAUAUUAUGAAUGUCUUCUCCAAUGAUUUCCCAAGUAUUUUGAUAGAACGCCCAUGUCAUACCAUCUGGUCCUCCUGCACUAUUUCGAUUCAACCCUAUAACUGUAUGCAUUUCUUGAAUUUCCCCAUUCUUAUCACUGUUCACCAUUUCUGCCAACUCAUUUAACAUUUCAAAAUCUGGGCAAGUUGUUUUCCUAGUAAAUUGCUUGAUAUAGAAGUCAACUAUGGCACCUGCAAUGUCUUCUUGAACCUCCAUCCACUCUUCUUCAUCAUUUUAUAUUUUGCUGACCCUCAACCAGCUUCUUCUGCCCUUCACUAUUAUGUGAAAUAAUUUUGUGAUUCUCUCACCUUCUUCAAACCACUCCAUUUCCACUUUCUGUUUUCAGAAUUCCUCCUCCCUACGUAAUUGUUUUUCAGCUCUACUUUUUCUUUAUGGAUAUUUUCUCAAUUACCUCCUGAUGGAGUCCCUUCAAACUCCAAUUCUUGAAUUCUAAUGGCUUCCUCUAGAGUGGAUAUUUCCUAAUAUUCCAUAUUAAAUCCUUCAUUGAUAUUUGGGGUUUUUGACAAUCGUUCUUUAGAUUAUCUAGAUUAUGCUUGAGCCCGUGUCGAUUCUCCUCCAACUUGUUUCCUUUGCUUUGUAUGAUUACCCUUCAGUUUUCCUAUCUAUGUAGGGGAUAAAUCAUCUUUUAUAGUCGUCCUAGCUAUAUUUAGAGUUGGUCAACUUUCUCCCUAAUAUUUUCCUUAUGCUCCAAUACUUUCCUCAUCAUUGUCAUUUUGAAUUUCCAGCGGAAGUACUUCCUCAUUGUUUAUUUUCAACAAUCACCAAAGCUCUUUCAUUCACCUCAUAAUGACUUUCUUUAUUUUUCUUAUUACCUUCUUCUUCCUCUGUCCCUUGUUAGCAUUGUGUGGAUUCGGUGUGGCUUUGUCCUUUCUUAGUGUUUUCAAUUUUGUGAUCAGUAGUAAUGCCUUUUUAUUCUUGAAUUUUUUUAUCCUCCUUAUAAACAAACGUUUUAUUUACCCAAUCCUUGGUGAUUUUGUCAUUUGCUUUGUCUUCAUUGACUUCAUUUGUAACAUGCGCAUCCUCCUCCCUAAGUGCCUCAAAGGAGUUUUCAUCCUGAUAGGAAAUUUCUCCUUCAAUAUGCCCUUAUUUAUAUCUUUUAUACUUAUUUCUUCUCCUUACCAUCCACUCUUGUCGAUUCUGUUUAUUGCCCACCACCUUUCCACUUGUCAAGGUUCUUCUUUGAUCAACCAUCGAACCUGUAAAGUUAUGUAUGUUUUCCUUCUCUUCCUUCUGUUGAUCCUCAUCACUCCUUGUUUCAUACAAUUCAAGAUGUAUUGUCCAGCAAUUGUGUUCCACUUGGAUUUUAUUUUUCCUGCAAUAUCAUCUUCUUCAUUAACCUUUACUCGUUGGGUAGCUUUGCAGUCAUUUCGCCUUCAAUUUUAACUCUUGCACAACUUGGUCGUGUUUAAUUUUUUGUCGCCAUGUCCACCGUUAACGGCUUGCCAAUCACACUCGGUAUUGAGAAAAUUGCCUCCUUAGCGGAAAAAAAUUAGUGGUAGAUCUGAGAAUGAUAUGCAAGCAACACCAAUAGUUGUUUCAACAUCCAGUUCAAACCAUGGAUCCCUUUUGAGGGUUCUCAUCUGUCAAUAACUCUCCUUUGCAUUGACAUGAAAAGUUACAGUAGAUAAUAGAUGCACGUAGUCUUCCAUUAUCGUAAGUCUGAUUAGUAUGUGCCUCGUGUCCAACACAUCUAUCGUGCAUUCACUUUUAAUUUCACAUUGCCCUGGUAUUGUCUUCCUCAGUACCUUCACAUCUGGUUUGCCAUACGAAAAUUCUCCUAUGAUGACAUAGUGCAAAUUCUCCUUAAUGAUAAGUGAUCCGACUUCCGAUGUUUUGCACAUGAUGCUCGGUUCACCAUGAAGUAUUAUCACUAGCUUGGGUGGGACGGUGGGGAUUUUUGGGGUACUAGGUUUUGGUUUAAGUAAACUGGCAAAAAGAUAUUUACAUUUUUUAAAAUAAGACAAAUUGCAUGCUACAAUAGGCAAAAGUGACUUGAAACAAGUGUUACCCCGUGCUUGGCCACGAACAACAUUUUCAAAUUUUAAACUUGAACUUUUGUUCAUAAGGUAAGCGAAGGUCGAAAGUUGAAGACCACCAAAAAAAAAAGUCAUAUUUCUACUUCUUUUUUUUGUUCCAACUCUUUUCCUUGAUAAGUAAGUAAAUCUCUGAACAAUAAUUUUGGGCUUAUAUCUUUUCUUCACAAAUCAUGGACUUCUGCCUAUCUAAUUUGUACUAAAACUAGGUAGAAUUGGGCCAAUAACAAGGCUCUAGAAAGCAUUCUAACUAUAAAACAUUUGGACCUGGGCUUUAUUCAAUGUCAAGUUUACUACUUGAGCCCAACAACUAUAACAACCACAAUCAUAUAAUCGAUUUCAAUUUUUCUAGAAUUGAGGUGUGAUUGUUAUUUAAUAAUCUGGUAUUUAAUUCCUACUGAUUCGACUAAUCAAGAUUCAUGUUGAGUAUACUUAUUGAGGGAGUAAAAUUUUAUAUCGAAAAGUUCUCCGCUUAAAUCGGUGCUCAAAAUCAAGACAUUUAGUCAAAUGAUGAAUAGAUCCAACCAUUUGUUGGAAAACUAUAUGCACAGCGGAAGCAUACUAGAAUUUUACUGCUUACAUGAAUAAUAGAUAACCAAUACCGUUUAUGCUAGAACACAUAAACUUGUUGAAAUUUAAAUCGAUAAAUACCUCUUGAAGCGUGAGCAGAUAUCUUCAAGCGAAUCCCCAAGUUAGACAGCAACUAUGAUCUUCCACGGUGAUCCCAAGUUCACAUCCGAACUCUCUCAAUACUUGGGUGGGCAAGUAUCGAAUAGAAAACUAAUCCAUCUUUUUCUAGGUUAGGAGAAUCAUAGAGAUUCCUUCCCAAUCCAAAAAGGAGAAGAAAACCCAGUUUUCUUGAAAAACAAGAAAACAAACGCUUGACUCCUUUUUCCCUUAAGAAAUAGGAUUCUGAGUUCUAGUUAAAUAUGGGCACUNNNNNNNNNNNNNNNNNNNNNNNNNNNNNNNNNNNNNNNNNNNNNNNNNNNNNNNNNNNNNNNNNNNNNNNNNNNNNNNNNNNNNNNNNNNNNNNNNNNNNNNNNNNNNNNNNNNNNNNNNNNNNNNNNNNNNNNNNNNNNNNNNNNNNNNNNNNNNNNNNNNNNNNNNNNNNNNNNNNNNNNNNNNNNNNNNNNNNNNNNNNNNNNNNNNNNNNNNNNNNNAGGCAUAUUGACCCAUCUCAGAAUCUCACCUUUUAAUAAAUCAAAACGAUAAUUAAUAUAUACAGAUCAUAAUAGUUAUAUCAGGAUUAAGAAUAUAAGUACAUUUAAUAGUUUAGAGAAUAUGUUUUGUCAGUCAGUCUAAAACAACUAUCUCUACUCGGUCUCGUUCAAUACAUACAAAAUGCACUAGCACAAGAAGUUAGAACUAUGCCGUUCCCAUAAUCAAGAUAUAUUAGAUAUAAUCUUGUGCUACAAUCGUACCGAUGGCAUGUCCAAUUUUCAUCAUAGAUUGUGAACAAAAAACUUUAUACUUAUAAGAACCGAUGAUUUAAUCCUCUGUCUAUAAGCUAAAACUCUACACACUAAAUCAUCUACUAUAUAAGUAAACAGACACCAUAAACGAAUAUAUGAUAUAUUAAAAUUGAGCAAAUAUUUAUUCUAUAAUAAAUAUUAUUUCUUAACACAUGGUUAAUAGUAUAUAUUCCAACACCAUUCCACCAUAUCUCUUUGCAACGAAGUGGAUAUAACUUGGAUCACCAAAAGUCUAGUGAAAUAGAUUGAAAUCCCUCCGUUCUUAAUCAAUAAUUUCAUAUACGAACUGUGGAAUCGGAAAAAUACAUGCACAUAAUGAUUUCCUCUCAAAUGAUCCAACGCAUAGAAUAUAAUUCAUAUAGUUAGUCAAAUAGAAUAUUUAAGAUAUCAUAUGAUCAGAAAAAUAAAAAAGAACAUUUACUGCAGUAAUAAUAGCAUAUCCUGUGAAAUCGAAAAAAUAUAUGCAUAAGCCUUAUGUUUGUCUGAGACUGAGAUGUUGAGAUGUUGUGUUCGAUAUACCUCGACUUCACAAAAAAAAAAAAGUUAUAAAACAACAUUUGAAAACAUUUUUUUUCUCAUUUGGGACAAAAUAUGCACACUUGGUACCAGGUGGGUACUAUCUGGCAAAUCAGUGAAGCAACAUUUUUUUAUAACAUUAAUGAAUAAUAAAGUGGAAACUAUUUAUUAAAAUAUUAAAAAGGAAAAAAACAGAGGAGAUAAAGGUUAGUUUUCAAUUUAAUAUUUGGUCGGUGCUGAUUUAUCAUGGCCUCCCAUGCAAACGCGUGAAUGUAAAAUACAAUUAUACCCUCAAACUUUUUCUAAAAAUCAAUUUAAUGACAUUAUUUUAUCUUUUGAAGGAAAAAGAAUCAAAAUUUCAUUUUUUGUGUUUUCUCUGAUAUGAGACCUGUUUUAAGUCGGACUAAUUAUAUUUGCUUUAAAAUUUUAUUUUAAGAAUAAAAUAUUUUCUAUCAAAGACUAUUCAUUUUCAAGACUGAAUUAAACACGGGAUCAGUGUAGCUAGAGCUAUCCUAGAGUGUCCAAUUGAACAUUUUUCGUCGGAAAAUUACGUUAUACAUAUAUAGAAUUUAAAGAUAUAUAUAUAUAUAUAUAUAUAUAUAUUUAAAGUUGGACACCGUUAACAAAAGUUACUUCUUCUGUCCUUAAUUACUUGUCUACUUUUCUUUAAAUAGUUGUCCCUAAUUACUUGUCCAUUUGACAAAUCAAGAAAGGACAAAAAAAAAAUUACUCAUUAUACUCUCAAUUAAUUACUUUAAAAAAGAUGGAACUUCUUGAAAAUCUUAAGUUUUUAAUUCAUUCAAUUCAUAAUUAAUAGUGGUAAAAUGAUAAACUCGCUAUAUCAAUAAUUAUUUUCUUAAUAGGUGUGUCAAUUUAAAUGUGGAUAAGUAAUUAGGAACAAAAAGAGUAUGACAUAGUGAUUAUGAGUGUUCAUUUCAAUGAAUGAGUUCUAGGCUAAAACCCCAAAUAGCACAAUCUUCUAAAAAGUCUAUGAAAUUAUGUCAAAUAGUAGUAUUAUUGUGUUAUAUGCAAGUCAUUUAAAGAAUAUUUAUAAUUUAAGUCAACUAGAAGGAGUUAUAAAUAACUCUAUUUAUAAUCUAGUGUAACAUUUAAAUUAUCAUAAUGUGUAAACUUAAAUAACUAAAGUCCAUGAAAUAAUAAAGCCAUUCACACUCAAGAAUAUAAAAAGGUACAAAAAAUGGUAUAAAUUUUAAUGAUCUUUGCCAGAUAGACCUCCUUGAUUGGUUCAAUUUGACAGAUAGAAUUUCAUUCAUUAAUUUGUGAAUUGAUAAGACAUUUUCUAGAAAAAUUCUACACACUGAGGUCGUUUGGUAGAUUGUAUAAGAACAAUACAAAAUAGGGUGUAUUAGUAAUGCAUGUAUUAGUUAUGCAAGCAUUAUUUCUUAUACAUUGUUUGAUUCGAUGUAUUAGAAAUAACAAAUCUUGCAUAAUUUCUAUUGAAAAAUAUAUGUUUACAAAAAUACCUUUCACACUUUAUUUAUUUGUACACUUCCUUUGCAAUAAAGUUCUUUGCACACCGAAAAAGAUAUCUUUGCUAAAACAUCUUCUUCUUCUUCUUCUUUUUCUUUUUUUUUUCAAAAAUAAGAUUAAAUAGUUGUACUAUUGCGUCAAAAUAUUUUUGUGAAAAGUGGCAAAUAGUUUUUUUUUUAUCAAAUUUAUCGUCACAAUAGUAAAAAUUUUGAUUAAAUUAUAUUGAAAUUAGAUUUAUUUUUUUAAAAAAAAAAGAUACUUAAGAGGCCAUAAAGCCUAUUAAGACACCAAAAAAUUAAAAGACACUAAAAAACAAAUCAAAAAAAAAAUAAAAAAAUUAUGACAACAAAGAAAAUAAAAAGGCUUUAAGGAUAGUUUUGUAAUUAUUAAAGAGAAAAUAGGCAAAAGCCCUCCUAACCUAUAGCCGGAUUUCCAACUACACACUCAUACUUCACGGGGGUCCUAUUACCCCCUUGAAUUAUUUUAAAAUGAAAUAAGUAGCCCCUUAAAACAUCAUAACCAGAUAUGUGUCUUGUGGUGAAACACACGCACUUGACACGUGUAUUUCACCUUUUGAUCAUUUUUUUUAAAACGUUUUUUUCUCUUUCUUCUUCAUUCAUUUUUUAGCCCUAAUUUUUUUUUUUAUUCUUCUCCCUUUCUGACUUGUUAUUUUUUUAAAAAAACAAUUUAAGGUCUAAGUUUAUGAAUGUAUUUUGGAUCUUCAAAUUUGAAACAUGUUGAUAACAUAGAUGGCUGCUAAUUAUUUGAAGCUAAAUACAUUGAGUUUGAUUGAGUUUAUGGUUGCGAUUUUUAGAUUUGAAGAAACACCGGAAUUUCAUGGAAAUCGACAAGCUUCCAUAUGAAAUUAUUGAAUCUAUAUUCUUGAAGUGGGAGCAACUUUCAGAUGAUUUGAAGAGUUCUUUAUGUUUGAGAAUUGAAAACUGAAGCUCAUGGUUUAAUGUGAAGUAUUAACUUGAAACCUCCAUUAAAGUUAGUUCAAAAGCUUGAGCUAAAAAUUCAACUUGCCACAACGAGCACCUUUUUGAGUGCGUAAUAUAUCAAAAGAAUCGAAACUCCAAGGGAAGCUUAAAUCUAAAAUUUAGGGCAAUUUGGAGAAGAUUUAGAGUGGUUUCGCAUCAAAUUUCAAAACAAUGGAACGAAGAAGAUGAAGAACAAAAAAUUUUCAGAUUCCCUGGAAAUUGCCCGGUUAUUAAAAUUAGUAGUGGAUCUGUUAGGAAUUAAAUAUAGGAUAAAAAAUUAUCCUAGUAUUAAAAGUUUAUUGAAGAAAAUCAUUUGGGUAUCCCUGUAUUAAGCUUAUCCAAGCUUAAAUUUUCUUUGAUUUAAAAGAUUUUUGAUANNNNNNNNNNNNNNNNNNNNNNNNNNNNNNNNNNNNNNNNNNNNNNNNNNNNNNNNNNNNNNNNNNNNNNNNNNNNNNNNNNNNNNNNNNNNNNNNNNNNNNNNNNNNNNNNNNNNNNNNNNNNNNNNNNNNNNNNNNNNNNNNNNNNNNNNNNNNNNNNNNNNNNNNNNNNNNNNNNNNNNNNNNNNNNNNNNNNNNNNNNNNNNNNNNNNNNNNNNNNNNNNNNNNNNNNNNNNNNNNNNNNNNNNNNNNNNNNNNNNNNNNNNNNNNNNNNNNNNNNNNNNNNNNNNNNNNNNNNNNNNNNNNNNNNNNNNNNNNNNNNNNNNNNNNNNNNNNNNNNNNNNNNNNNNNNNNNNNNNNNNNNNNNNNNNNNNNNNNNNNNNNNNNNNNNNNNNNNNNNNNNNNNNNNNNNNNNNNNNNNNNNNNNNNNNNNNNNNNNNNNNNNNNNNNNNNNNNNNNNNNNNNNNNNNNNNNNNNNNNNNNNNNNNNNNNNNNNNNNNNNNNNNNNNNNNNNNNNNNNNNNNNNNNNNNNNNNNNNNNNNNNNNNNNNNNNNNNNNNNNNNNNNNNNNNNNNNNNNNNNNNNNNNNNNNNNNNNNNNNNNNNNNNNNNNNNNNNNNNNNNNNNNNNNNNNNNNNNNNNNNNNNNNNNNNNNNNNNNNNNNNNNNNNNNNNNNNNNNNNNNNNNNNNNNNNNNNNNNNNNNNNNNNNNNNNNNNNNNNNNNNNNNNNNNNNNNNNNNNNNNNNNNNNNNNNNNNNNNNNNNNNNNNNNNNNNNNNNNNNNNNNNNNNNNNNNNNNNNNNNNNNNNNNNNNNNNNNNNNNNNNNNNNNNNNNNNNNNNNNNNNNNNNNNNNNNNNNNNNNNNNNNNNNNNNNNNNNNNNNNNNNNNNNNNNNNNNNNNNNNNNNNNNNNNNNNNNNNNNNNNNNNNNNNNNNNNNNNNNNNNNNNNNNNNNNNNNNNNNNNNNNNNNNNNNNNNNNNNNNNNNNNNNNNNNNNNNNNNNNNNNNNNNNNNNNNNNNNNNNNNNNNNNNNNNNNNNNNNNNNNNNNNNNNNNNNNNNNNNNNNNNNNNNNNNNNNNNNNNNNNNNAAAGAUUUUUGAUAUAUAAUUCUUGAUUGUGGAGAGUAAUGAGUGAAAUUGCUAUAAAUGAUUUGUGGUGUAUCAUUAAUGUAGUGAUAGCGAUGGUUUCAAGAUAGUGAAGAAAUUUGGUGCUGCCAUUGAUGCUCAAUCCAAUUGCUAUGAAGAAGAAAAAAAUCAAGAAAAAAAAGAAGAAAAAAGAUACAUAUAUUUAAGAAAAUAAAAAUAAAAAUUUAAUACUGGUUUUUGGGAGAUACACUCACUUUGCCAGGUAAGCGUUCAGGGAGGUAAUAAUUCCAAUUUUAAACAAUUCAGGGGGGUGAUAGGACCCCCGUGAAGUAUGAGUGUGUAGUUGGAAAUCCGGCUAUAGAUUAGGGGGGCAUUUGGCCAUUUUCUCAUUAUUUAAUCUAAUGCAAGUGUUAAAAUGCUAUGUAUUACUAAUACCUAGAAUUCCUUGGUAUUAGUAAUACACAACUUAAUACACAAUAGAGUGUAUAACUAAUGCAAACAUUAAUUAUAACAUGGCAUGAAAAAGUGUACCAAACAAAAGGUACUACUAAUACAUACACCUAAUGGAUGCAUUGUAUUUAUAGAGUAAAAUUACUUUAUAAAAUAGUGAUUGCAAAUAAAUUUAUAUGGUAAGUAUUACACUAUUGCUUUACUCCUCAUUGGUUUCAAUAUAACUUUCUUUUUACUGUAUUUGAUUUAUAUUUUUUUUUUAUUUGUUGAUAUAUUUUACUUGAGUCAAAAACAAUCUCUACCUUCAUGAGGCGGGGAUAAGAUUGUAUACACACCAUCUUCUUCGAACUUUAUUUAUAAAAUUACACUUAAUAUAUUAUUAUUAUUAUUAUUAUUAUUACUUUAAUAACCUUGUAAAAAUAAAUUAAUUUUAUAAUAUCAGUGUAUAAUAAGUCUCGUAAAUUUUUUAAAAGAAGAGGCAUCCCACACAAAAAGAUAAGUCAAGAAUCAACCAGACCAAGUCUAGAACACCAACUUUGUACAAGUCAACAGAAAACCUCAACCACAUUCUAAUGAAAAAAAAAAUCAAGAAUAUGAUGCCAAUGGGCAACUUUUUCCAAUUUUGACAAGUCAAGGUACAAACUUUUCAUCACAAGGUACAACGCACUAAUAGCACACCUCACUUGCAUCAUCUAGAUCUAACUAGAUAGGUAAAUGCUAAAUUUGAUGUUGUAAACAUAGAAAAUCCAAUCAUUUAAAUCCAAUUACAAAUUUUGGAAUCUAUCCUCUAUGUCAGCCAUUAAUUAAAAAAAUCUGAUUUUUUUUACCAUUUCCUUAUUUUUCCUCACUAUGAUUUUCGAGCUAACUUUUAUGCACCUCGAUUAUUUUAUCGAAUACCUGCUAUAUUUUAUCGAUUAUUUCACCAAUCCAAGUACUAGAUAACUCGGCCACCAAAACUUCAACAGAUAGGAAAAAUCACAAUUACUUUUGUUUGUACUGAAAUUUGAAUCCCCAUCUCCAAAAUUUACUUUGACCAUUGAAUUAUUAUAAUCCAAAAAUUGGAAUCUACUCAUGUCAUAUAAUAUAUAAGAAAAAAUUCUCAAAUCUCAAAUUCUUUAAAGAGAAAAAAUUUACCUUUUUACAACCCCAAAUGUGAAAUCUUGAAAAGGGGUGUAAUGGUAGUUGAAUUAACAUCACCACAAACAUUAAACUCCAACAAGAAACCAAACAAGCUAAGAUCUAUUAGAUUUCCAAGACUGUCUUUCUUGAAAAAAACAUCCUCAAAUUGCUCAAAAAAAUCCAAGUUUUCUUGUCUAUCCAUUGUUCCAACAAGUAAUAACUCAACCCCAGAGCAACUAAGUCCAAUCAAAAUGCCAGAUUUAUCACCAAAUUAUAUGAAGAUUACAACUAGCUAUGAUGCAAAGAAAGGAAGUAAUUCUCAGGUAAAUUAAGUUUCUUGAUUCUUGAUUUUUGCUUAAAACAGUACUACUGCUGACCAAGUCUUAAUUGUAGUAGUCUAUCACUAUGAUGAAUAAAAAAAUGUGUUGACAAAGACUUUAUAUUAUGAAAUUUUAUUAGAAAUUUUCUCAUUUUUGUGACACCCCUUUUGUGUUUCAGAGAGGUAUUGGAUCAGUAGAUGUAAAUUCAAUUGAUUCAUCUGAAUUUUGUACACCAAAAAAGGAUGACAAAAUCAAGAACAGAUCAGUAAUGAAAAAAAUAAUGAAGAAUUUUGGUAGUACAAGGUCAUUUAGAAGAAGGUCAUCAAGAUCAAUAACAACAAUGAAGAAUCAUAAUACUCAAAAUCCAUCUUCAGUUGAGUUUUCAGAAUUAUCAUCAUCACCAUCACCAUCACCAUCACCACAUUACAGAAAAUCAACUUGUUGUUCUCAAGGUAAAAAUGGUUUACAUCAUAGUUGUGAAUCUAGCUUUGAUAGUAGUGAUCAAAGUAGGAGUCCGCGAAAAUAUUCGCAGACUCUAUCAAGAACAACUAGUAUGAGAAGUGUGAAGAUUUUGAUAAACAAAGCUAGUUUUAAAUCUAAAAAGGGUAGCUCAAAAUGCUGUCAAAUUCCUGAUAAGGCGACGUGUUCUUCGACUAUUAAGGAUUCUAAGUUUAAGGAGCAUGUUGAGUUUCAUCCUGGAAAAACUGAAACUGAUAGGUUGUCUAAGUUCAAAGUUUGUUCAUAUCAUCAUUGUUCUCUCCAUGGAGGACACUAUGAUGAUCCUUCACCCCCCGUGAAACGCGUAUAUAGGAGGAAAAGAUUGUUGAAAUCACAAAAGAGCAUUAGAGCAAAAAGAGAGUUUAGUACUGCUGAUGAAAAUACUCAAUUGAGCUCCAGUGUUGAUCCUUCAGUUUGUGGACAAAGCAGUGCUGCAGAAGAUGCUGGUGGUUUCGAUGUAAACGAGGCUAUUGAACAUGCUGAUCUUGUUGAGAUUGACUUUGGUGAACAACAAAGCAGUGGAACAGAAGAUGCUGGUGUUUUCGAUGUAAACGAGGCUAUUGCAUAUGCUGAAAUUGACUUUGGUGAAACAUCAUUUCCGGAGCAAAGUUACAAGGAGACACUCAACAUAAUGAGCAAACACUCUGCACUAGAGAAGGACAGCCGACUUACUGCUUCAGAGUGUUGCAAUUGUAUGGCACGAGGGCGGAGUGACUCAAAAGAUGACAGUGUUACAGAAUCAGCUGCAUUCAGUCUCGUGCAGGAAAGGGAUCGUUCACAUCUCCUAAAGCAAGAUGAUGGUGUCUCUACAUCUAAUGGGGAUGAAAGUAGUAAACGAGAACUGUCUAAAGAUGUGCCAUUUACCAUGACAACGAGAUCGGUGUUUGAUCUUUUUAAUGGAGCAAAAUAUAGCAAUGUUACAGAAUCAGCUGCUAAAUCUGAUAACAAUGAAACUAACAACAGAGAACCGUCUAAAGAUGGACCAUUCACCAUCACAACGAGACCGGUGUUUGAUAUUUUUUAUGGAGCAAAAUGUAGCAAUGAAAUCUCUUCUGUUUCAGCUAGCAAUAUGCAGGAGAAGGAUGGUAAAGCUGAUCCGAACGAGGACCUUGAUAGCACAUCAGGUCCAGUUGGUGAUUCAAAAUCCCAGAAUUGUCCUCCAGCUGAAGUUGUCAGACCCAAAAAGAAGUACAUGAACAUGUGGAGUCUGAUUCGUAGGCAUAUGGUCUCGGACUCAUCUGCUGAACCUGAGACCAAACCAGCCAGUGGUGCUAACGACGAAGAAAAUCAACAGGAUGGUGCUAACAAAUUGCCUUCGGCAGGAAGUUCUGACUCAUAUUCAGAUUUUGCUGAAAGAGAAAUGAUACCUGCAAAUGAGGAUGCAGAAAGUCAAGAAAUCGAAUUGAGGAAGCUUUUCACCAUCAAACUCGUACGAGAAGCAAUCGAGAAGAUUCUUCUUCCAGAAGUUCAAUCUGAUAGCCAAUCAGUUACAAGUGAGUCCAGUGUAGACCAAGAAUCCUUUGAAAUGAAUCAAAUCCAAGGUAAGGAAUUAGUACCACUAUUUGUCUUUCAUUUGUUUAUUAAGAAUGUGUGUAUUUAUUCACUUUAAGAAUUGUUUCUGAAUUUUUCAGACAGCAAGAAUGAGGAGGCAGAUGCAGGAUCCAUGUCAAAAACUGUGAAGACAGAAGAUGUUGGCGGCUCGAAGAAGGAGAUAACACCAAAAGUAGUGAAAAACAAAUCCGAGAAGAGAGCACCAAAACACUGGAGCAAUCUUAAAAAAUGGAUACUUCUCCAACGAUUCGUCAAGGAAUUGGAGAAGGUUAGAAAGAUCAAUCCAAGGAAACCGCGGUAUUUGCAGUUGAAUCCUGAUCCUGGAGCAGAAAAGGUGAAUUUAAGAACUCAAACAGCUGAUGAGAGGAAAAGAGGAGAGGAAUGGAUGCUUGACUACGCGCUUCAGCAGGCGAUAAGUCAACUUGCUCCAACUCAGCAAAGGAAAGUGGAACUUCUUAUAAAAGCGUUUGAAACUGUGGUUCCACCACAAGGCGACAAUAGCCAGAUUGCAUUUUCUAAGCCCAGAGCUAGAAAAGAGAAUGAAUUCAUGUCUACAGCAGGCAAUACGGGGCGUAAGGCAGAGAAAGUUAUUGCAGGCAUAGACAGAAAGCUUGAAGAAAAUGACUGCUCUAUGUACAAAGAUCAUGAUGUUCGACAGUCUGUACUUAGGCAGAAGUCGGAUGAAGUGACAAGCGCUUUGAAUGAUGAGGAUUUGGUGGAAGGAAAAGCUCGGAAAGAAGAUGAGGAAGAUAGUUCAAAUGAUUCUAUGAAAGAAACCUCUGAUGCAGUUGAUGGAGCACGAGAAGAUGUGGGGUCAGAUGUGAGAGACAGGAAGUUGGAGCUUGAGAAUCAUGACAGCGUUACUGGUGAAACAUCUAAUACAACGCAGAGCUCAAUUGCAGAUGGCGACCAAAAUUCACUAACUGCAAUGAGCAUCCAGAGUUCAACUUCAGCAUCUGAUGCAACAAUGCAAGAAACUGUAACUAGGGAAGAGACAGCAAAAGAAUGUGAGAAAACACGUAAACCUCUUCGUGGAUUUUCUCUCUUACUAUCAAUGUCUGAUACCAAAGAAGAUGAUGGAGCAUCCAAGGGGCAGGCGGACAAACGGAGUUACAUCAGCAUGUGGCACAUGAUAUCACAACAUGUGCUAUCAGAUGUUGCAUCAAAAGUUGGAAAUGAACUACUUGAUGGAACUGAUGAUGAGGUAGAAGACAGCAGUAGUACACCAUCUGAAAGGAAAAUGUGCAACUCUCUCGAGGAUUUCUCUGAGACAAAGGAUGAUGCAGAGUCAAACAGGGAAGAUCAUAAUCCAAGCCACCACGGGAGAAGUUUCUGCAGAGACGAUGCUGUCAAACUCAUACGAGAGGCAGUUAACGAGAUCCUUACAACGCCAAUUCAAGAUGAUUCAUCAGAUACACAGUCAGUCACCAGUGACAUAAUCCCGGACCAGGAACUCUCAGAAGCUGAAGGUGAAGCGAAUAAUCAUUCAAAUUCUACAGAAAGCUUGACAAAUCUUGACAUGACUGAAGGUGAAAAAAUGUUGGAUCAAGAAAUGAAGGAUCCAAAAGAAGAGAGAGCACUUCCACUAGCCAAGAACAAACCUGAGACACAAAAGUCCAAGAACUGGAGCAAGCUGAAGAAGUUGAUCCUCCUCAAGAGAUCAAUCAAGGCACUUGAAAAAGCGAGGAAAUUCAACCCACGAGCGCCUCAAUUUCUGCCCCUAACACCUGAUCAAGAACCAGAAAAAGUGGAUUUGAGGCAUCAAAUGACUGAUGAGAGGAAAAAAGCAGAAAAAUGGAUGCUUGAUUAUGCAAUGCAGCAUAUAGUUACCACGCUAACACCUGCUAGGAAAAAAAGAGUGGCAAUGCUUGUGGAAGCAUUCGAAGCAGUUGUUCCUCUCCCAGAAGUAUGAAUUCAACCAAGUCAGAUUGGUGGCAAAUUCUUUGACUACUUGUAAGAAUUAUGAAGGUGAGCAAACAUUCCUACAUUCGUUCGAAUUCAGUUAUUUAGACGAAUGAACCUAUAGAAAAUAUUUACUAAAUGAAAAAAGGGAAC